AUUCCAACCUCAUUGGUUAAGACUCUCCGAAACAUCUGCAAAGAACCCCACUGCUGGAUUCUCAGUACAAAGAGAGUAAAGCUCGGUAGGUUCUGCAGCUGGGAGGUACAACUGCAACUCAGCAGACAGGUUUAAUCAGCAUCAGAUGCACCUGCUAAACAAAAAGGGAGCAAAUCUUGCCAACCACUGACUGAGGGAAGAAACAGGACCCAGCCCAAGAUGAAUGCGAUUCGCCACCCAUGAAAAAAUCUGCAGCUGUAGGUAAGAAGGACAUAAACACACACGUUUUUCAAGGACCUUUAGUCAAAACUGAACAAAUCAGCUCCCACGUUCACCCAAAAAGAAAAAAAAAAGAGAGAGAAAAGGGGAAGUUCAGAUUAGUCACAAAGAAGUUCCCCCGCCUGUUGCUGUAUGUAUAAAACUGAGACACUGUCCUGAAGACUUCAUAUCUCUGAUCUUGGGACUUCGCAUGUACCUCUUCUGCUUCUCUUUCCUUCUGGACAGAGUCAGAAGAGGAUUUUUUUUUCUUUUGGCAUUUUAAAUUGGAGGUUGCUAGCAGGGAGGCUGGGAUGGAAGGGCAGCCAGAGAUGGAACCCAGAAAUCAGGGAGAGCAGCUGGAUCUGGAAAGGGGACCUGCAGACUAUGAGUGGAGGAGAUGGCAAAGAGCACAGGUCAGAAGGAACACACUGCAGCUUGUAUCUGCUGUUGCUCAGUGGAUAUUAUUGCUCACCUGCUUGGUGCAACUUGGCCUUGGCUUCCUGCAUUCCUCUCCGACCACCACAAAGGCUACAGGCCAGUGGACCAUCGCCAGGAAAUCUGAGGUUAAGGUCAAUGUCAGUGAAGCGACUGUCGAUAUUACUUACUGGAGUGGCGACUGGAAUGUCACAAAUGGCAGAAUCCAGGUUGAAUGUGAUGGCUUGUAUCUGGUGUUCCUGCAAGGAGAGCUCAAUCUGGAUAAUAAUGCCUUGCUGACCCUCAAAGUUUAUGAUAAAGGCAACAAUACCAUCUUGAAGCUGAAAGAGAAGGAAGAAAGGAAGAUAUAUUUGGUCACAGCAUUACGUCUGCUUAGUCCUAAUAAUAUUUAUCUGAAUGCCAGUGGCCCAGCCAUUCUUCAUCAUUUGUCACUGGGCCUUGUCUUGCUGUCUCCACCCAAUUACUGCACUGACAGAAAAAGGAUUAAAUAUUAACAUGCAAAGAAAGACCCCUUUCUGACAAACUACAAAUCUGAACCCACUACUAGCACAUAUACAAGAUUGUAUUCAUUAGGCUAUACAUGUACAAGAAGCCUGAAACUGGGGUCUCAGGCCUGUGCUAUGUCUGAGUGAGAGGGUUCUCCUGGCUAGUGCAAACAAGUCAAUAUGCAAAUAGUCUUUAUUCAAUAUCUGCCAUGUUCACCUCUUUGGGGCCCACUCCCUGGGAUGGAUCUGUCGGACUUGGGAGAGGGUCCGUGAUACUGUCGAGAAGAAUGAAGGUGAGAACAUAGAAAGUUACUGAUGCUUGGUUCAUAGUCAGAGGAAUCCUGGCUUCCCUAUUUAUUUGAUGAAAUUUGUAUAUACUUGAAAAGCUUUGCACACUUGCUGGAAAAGGAAUCAGUUGAAUCACAAAUGGACCUGAUAGUUUUACAGUUACCUGGGCAAAGUGGAGAUGAUAGAGAUCCAUGAAACAACUUUUGCCUAGCUGUGAGGAAGAAAAAGAUCAUGGGGAGGGUUUCCCUUACAGUGAUCCUGGGAGAUGUUUCCUGGAAGCUCAGGAAAUGGAAGAAAAGAGGUGUUUGGAAGUUUAAAAUGGAGACUCAUGGUAAUGAGCACAGAGCUGUUUAAGAAUGGCUUUUCAGACAGAAAGAGACUCUGAGAAAUGCAGUUUCUAAUUAUUUGCAAAUUCUGUGGCAUAAGUGAUGUGGGAAUAUUUGAGACAAUACUAGGAGGGACUGAUGUCAGGAAUUCAAGAUAUCAACUGGAGAAGAAUCCCAGCUCCUCCCCUCUCCUCUUCCAUAUGCAUGCAUACACAUGCACACAUACAUACAUACUAGGCUUGAACCAAGAUCCAGGUGCCUAAACUUUAGAAGAUGUUGGAAGAAGCUCCUAACCCCUUGAGCAGGCUCUCUGGGUUCCAGGGAACAAAUAAAAUCUUUGGUUCUGAAAUCUUCA
RNAcentral lists this long non-coding RNA (2147 nucleotides) under Crocodylus porosus (Australian saltwater crocodile). Its description in RNAcentral is "lncRNA (ENSCPRG00005003949.1)". Lineage: Eukaryota; Metazoa; Chordata; Crocodylia; Crocodylidae. The record is from RNAcentral.